RNAcentral lists this ribosomal RNA (277 nucleotides) under uncultured bacterium. RNAcentral describes it as "partial 16S ribosomal RNA". It matches the Rfam family "Bacterial small subunit ribosomal RNA", at positions 524 to 790 of the family's 1533-position model. The record is from RNAcentral.
UACAGAGACUGCAAGCGUUAUUCGGAUUCACUGGGCGUAAAGGGUGCGCAGGCGGCCAAGUGUGUGAGGCGUGAAAGCCCGGGGCUUAACCCCGGAAUUGCACCUCAAACUACAUGGCUAGAGCAUUGGAGAGGGUGAGAGACAGUAAUUCUGAUGGUGUAGCAGUAGAAAUGCGUAGAUAUCAUGAGGAAUACCCAGAGGCGAAGGCGGCUACCUGGACAAUUGCUGACGCUCAGGCACGAAAAGCGUGGGGGAGCGAACAGGUUAGAAACCCCCA